AACGAACGCCGGCGGCAUGCCUAACACAUGCAAGUCGAACGGGCUGUAGCAAUACAGUCAGUGGCGAACGGGUGAAUAACGCGUGGGAACCUGCCUUGGAGUUCGGAAUAACCGCGGGAAACUGCGGCUAAUACCGGAUACGACCUAAGGGUGAAAGCAGAAAUGCGCUCCGAGAGGGGCCCGCGUCCGAUUAGCUAGUUGGUGGGGUAACGGCCUACCAAGGCGAUGAUCGGUAGCUGGUCUGAGAGGAUGAUCAGCCACACUGGAACUGAGACACGGUCCAGACUCCUACGGGAGGCAGCAGUGGGGAAUAUUGGUCAAUGGGCGCAAGCCUGAACCAGCGAUGCCGCGUGAGUGAUGAAGGCCUCGGUUGUAAAGCUCUGUGGGGAGGGGACGGAAAGAAUACGGUUCUUAACAGGACCGAAGUUGACGGUACCUCCUUAGCAAGCACCGGCUAACUCUGUGCCAGCAGCCGCGGUAAU
This 482-nucleotide ribosomal RNA is filed under the name uncultured bacterium. RNAcentral describes it as "bacterial SSU rRNA". It matches the Rfam family "Bacterial small subunit ribosomal RNA", at positions 29 to 524 of the family's 1533-position model. The record is from RNAcentral.